GUUUGAUCAUGGCUCAGGAUGAACGCUAGCGGGAGGCUUAACACAUGCAAGUCGAGGGGCAGCACGAGAUAGCAAUAUUUUGGUGGCGACCGGCGCACGGGUGAGUAACACGUAUGCAACCUACCCUGUACAGGGGGAUAACCCGGAGAAAUUCGGACUAAUAUCCCAUAAAGAUAAUGAUGGGCAUCCAUUAUUAUUUAAAGCUCAGGCGGUACGGGAUGGGCAUGCGGAACAUUAGCUAGUUGGCAGGGUAACGGCCUACCAAGGCAGCGAUGUUUAGGGGACCUGAGAGGGUGAUCCCCCACACUGGUACUGAGACACGGACCAGACUCCUACGGGAGGCAGCAGUGAGGAAUAUUGGUCAAUGGGCGCAAGCCUGAACCAGCCAUCCCGCGUGAAGGAAGAAGGCGCUAUGCGUUGUAAACUUCUUUUCCAGGGGGUGAAUUUUCCGGUCGUGACCGGAAUUGACGGUACCCUGGGAAUAAGCAUCGGCUAACUCCGUGCCAGCAGCCGCGGUAAUACGGAGGAUGCGAGCGUUAUCCGGAUUUAUUGGGUUUAAAGGGUGCGUAGGCGGACGAAUAAGUCAGUGGUGAAAACCUGCAGCUUAACUGUAGAAUUGCCGUUGAUACUGUUUGUCUUGAGUAUGGUCAAGGUAGGCGGAAUGUGUAAUGUAGCGGUGAAAUGCUUAGAUAUUACACAGAACACCGAUUGCGAAGGCAGCUUGCUGGGCCAUUACUGACGCUGAUGCACGAAAGCGUGGGGAUCGAACAGGAUUAGAUACCCUGGUAGUCCACGCCGUAAACGAUGAUCACUCGCUGUUAGCGAUACACAGUUAGCGGCUAAGCAAAAGCAUUAAGUGAUCCACCUGGGGAGUACGGCC
This 880-nucleotide ribosomal RNA is filed under the name uncultured bacterium. RNAcentral describes it as "bacterial SSU rRNA". It matches the Rfam family "Bacterial small subunit ribosomal RNA", at positions 11 to 887 of the family's 1533-position model. The record is from RNAcentral.